This 448-nucleotide ribosomal RNA is filed under the name uncultured bacterium. Its description in RNAcentral is "bacterial SSU rRNA". It matches the Rfam family "Bacterial small subunit ribosomal RNA", at positions 29 to 521 of the family's 1533-position model. The record is from RNAcentral.
AGCGAACGCUGGCGGCAGGCUUAACACAUGCAAGUCGAGCGGGCGUAGCAAUACGUCAGCGGCAGACGGGUGAGUAACGCGUGGGAACAUACCUUUUGGUUCGGAACAACACAGGGAAACUUGUGCUAAUACCGGAUAAGCCCUUACGGGGAAAGAUUUAUCGCCGAAAGAUUGGCCCGCGUCUGAUUAGCUAGUUGGUGAGGUAAUGGCUCACCAAGGCGACGAUCAGUAGCGGUCUGAGAGGAUGAUCAGCCACAUUGGGACUGAGACACGGCCCAAACUCCUACGGGAGGCAGCAGUGGGGAAUAUUGGACAAUGGGCGCAAGCCUGAUCCAGCCAUGCCGCGUGAGUGAUGAAGGCCCUAGGGUUGUAAAGCUCUUUCGUGCGGGAAGAUAAUGACGGUACCGCAAGAAUAAGCCCCGGCUAACUUCGUGCCAGCCGCCGCAGU